CUCGUCAUGAGUCCCAGGGAAGCAUUUCUAACUCUCUUAUGUUUCCAUUUUGUGGAAUUACCACAAAGAGCAUCAGCAAGGAAGAAAGAAAGCCAGCAAGGAAGAGAAAAAGAAAUUGUGCUCCUUAGUCUGCAUUUUGAAUUCCCCAGUAGAAAAUUUUAAUAACAUAAGAAAUAAUAUUGCUUAGAAAAAGCUGCCCCCUCUGAGAGGACACAGCAUCACAGGCAUGUGGUUUGGCCAUCGUCAGUGGAAUCGGUAGAAGGCUCUUCUCGCUCCAGGCAUCGUCGAGCCAAGGCCUGGUGUGGUGAAUCAGCUCCUGCUCCUCGGGAGCUCCAUGUACACCCAUACAUGGCAGCCCUAUGUGAAUGAGACGAAGCAAGAUGUGCGACCAACAGCAAGUAGAGAAAACAGCAAGUGCAAAGGCCCGGAGAUGGGAAUCAAGCCUGGUGGGCUUGGGGAACGUGAAGGCCCCUGGGUUGAAAAACAGUUAUCAAGGGAAAGACUAAUAUAAUAGAAGGCGAGAUCAGAAAGGGGAGCAGGGUCCAGCUCUCACAGUGCCAUGCAGGACAGGACAGGAAACUGGAUUUUAUUCUAAUUGUAUAAGAAACCACUGGAGGGUUUUAUACAUAAUCUGAAUUCUGUUUUUAAAAGAUCAUUUUGGCCACGUUGGUCCAACCAACAUGUAAGAGCUGAGAGUAGAAGCACAGAGACCAGGAGAAGAAAAUUUUAGGAAGCUGUGUGAGGGAUGAGGCGCUUCCAUCAGGGUUGUGAUGGAGAAAGGAGAGGUGCGAGAAAUAGUCUGGAGGUGAGCACCACAGAACUUCUUGAUUUAAAGGGUGUGAAGAGAAGAGGAAUUAAAUAUGAUUCCUUGACUUUCGUCUUGAGCAACUGGAUAGACGGUACUGCCGUGGACUGGAGGUUAGGGAGACUCGGGCUGUGCAGGUUUGGGUAGGCGGGAUCAAGAGGUUUGGGGCAUGUUAGCUUUGAGAUUCUUACUAGACACUCGAGUGGAAAUGGCAGGUAGGCCGUUGGAUAUGUGAGUGUGGAACUUCAGGUCAAGGCUGAAAUUAUAACUUGGGGUCAUUAGCUUACAAAUAUUAUGUAAAACCAUGGGGCUGGAUGAGUUCAUCCAGAGAGAGAAAGUAUGGAGUAGCCAGGACCAAGCCCUGGGUUACUAGAGGUUGGACACAGGAGGAAGAGACGGCAAAGCAGAUUGAGAAGGUAGGGGGAGAAUCUCAUAGGUGGUACUCAAAGCGGUAUGUCGCAGGGGACAGGACUGCCACUACAUAGACUCAAGGUGAUGGCCCUGGUGAUUGCGCUGCCCUUUGGACAAUAAACUAAUUUGCUAAGUGAUAAGCACUGUUUUUUUGCAGCUGUCUAAUCAAUAUUUUGUUGCUUCUCUUUGGCUAACUCAAUAUAAAAUGAUGCAUGGUAAUUGUUUUAAUUUGCACUUGUAAAAUAAACCAAGUACGAGUUUGCUACUUUUCCCUUGUUAUGUGAGCAUCCUGUUAAUAUCGAGGCUGAUUAUUGUUAAUGAUGAUUGUUUAGUUUCAUGUUUGUUUUGUUUAUUUAAAAAAAGACUUUUUUUUUUCUUUCACUUAGGAUUAUUUUUGGCUGUAACAGAAAACGACUGCAGUAAGAAGGGGUGACUUUUGCUUACAAACUAUCUAAAGGCAGACAAUCUAGCAAUUCCUUAAUUCCAUCAAGGAUCCAGACUUAUUCUGUCUUUCUAAUCCAUCAUCUUCAACUAAUAGCUUUUUCCCUCUGUCUUGCCUGAUGGCUGCAAUCCUCUGGGCAUCACAGCUAUAUUCCAGCAGGAGGAAGGACACAAAACAAAAGACCUGUCCUUACUGAAUCUAUUCCUUUUCAUCGCGAAAACAAUAGCUUCCUUUGAAGCUAUGACAGUAGAAGUCUGCUUAUAUCUCAUUGAUCAGAAGUGGCUAAAUAGCCAUGCCAAGUUGCAAGGGAAACUAGAAAGAUGAAUUUUUUUUCCUUUUAUUUGUGUAUCAUUCAUUUAAUCAUAUUUAAACAUUUAGCAGGACUUGAUGCAUCCUGUAUAAAUCAC
Long non-coding RNA from Rhinolophus ferrumequinum (greater horseshoe bat), 2065 nucleotides. RefSeq lists it as uncharacterized. The record is from RefSeq and is a predicted model, not a curated record. The transcript has 3 exons. NCBI's taxonomy places the organism in Eukaryota, Metazoa, Chordata, Mammalia, Chiroptera, Rhinolophidae.